Molecule: ribosomal RNA, 503 nt
Filed under: Xenocalamus michelli
Lineage: Eukaryota; Metazoa; Chordata; Lepidosauria; Squamata; Lamprophiidae
Description: partial 16S ribosomal RNA
Rfam family: Bacterial large subunit ribosomal RNA
Source: RNAcentral
ACCUUUAGCCAAAACAAKUAUUAARGGCAACGCCUGCCCAGUGAAUAAUUAAACGGCCGCGGUACCCUAACCGUGCAAAGGUAGCGUAAUCACUUGUCUAUUAAUUGUAGACCCGUAUGAAAGGCAAAAUGAGGGCCUAACUGUCUCUUAUAAUAAAUCAAUUAAACUGAUCUCCCAGUCCAAAAGCUGGAAUACCAACAUAAGACCAGAAGACCCUGUGAAGCUUAAACUAAACUAUUAAAACACAUAAUAGCUCCUUUAGGUUGGGGCGACCUUGGAAAAAAAAAGAACUUCCAACAGGCUAACAAGCCAAAUCAACGACCCAGUACAACUGAUAAUUGAACCAAGUUACUCCAGGGAUAACAGCGCUAUCUUCCUCAAGAGCCCAUAUCAAAAGGAAGGUUUACGACCUCGAUGUUGGAUCAGGACAUCCUAAUGGUGCAGCCGCUAUAAGGGUCGUUUGUUCAACGAUUAACAGUCCCACGUGAUCUGAGUUCCAGACC